UGUUAGGAAGUUGGAGCAUAAUUGAUCUAUUGAUUGUCAUCCUUUGUGUUGCGGUCGGGAUCGCGCGGUGGUUAAAACCUACCAGCCCUUCCCCUAGGAGUAUGCGUUUAGCACUUUGUUUCGAUUACUAAUAAAAACUUUCGCAAUAAGUAUGUGAGUUCUUCAUGACUAAUGUGAGUCCAUGGUAUGGAUGCACUUUCACUU
Molecule: long non-coding RNA, 204 nt
Filed under: Hordeum vulgare
Lineage: Eukaryota; Viridiplantae; Streptophyta; Magnoliopsida; Poales; Poaceae
Description: long non-coding RNA (HVUL_LNC009536)
Source: RNAcentral